GUUUCGUCCAGACUCGUUUGUUCAAUAACAGCAUCAGCAGCACACUGGUUCAUCUCUUGAUCCCUGAAGCAGCAGACGCGUGUUCAAUUCCCUGCAUCUGCGGAUUAAAUACACCAUUUUUCUCUAUUUUCUUGAUUCAGUUCUCGCGGCCGAAGAUGCUUCAAUAGCUGUGGAGCCUUUCUUGUAUCACAACAGCAACAUAGCUCAUAUGAUCCGAUGCUGGGCCUCGACCCGUUUUCUCUUCAUAUGCAGCCAUCGCCCACGCGGCCCAGGAUUUCCCAUCGCCAACGCAGACCGGAUCCGGCCCAGAACGUCAAAGCAUUUGCUUCUUCCCGGAUAGGACCGCGAAGUGGUGUGGUGAGAUACGACAAGUUCUCCGGAUGUUCCUCGACGAGCUUUAACAGGCAAGCAUUUUCCCUUAUACUCCUGUCCCUGCAGGAGUCGCUCACCUAUUUUAUUUUGCCUUCUCCCUCAUGCUAUCCUUAAGUUGCGUUCUUGUCACGUGUCCCUUCCACUUGUUACCUCAAGCAGCCUAUAUUGACUCCACCAACCACCUACAGCUAUUGUUUGGUUAUCGGGUCUGCCUUGCGAGUCGUAGUGCAUGCUAGUGCUGUUUUAUCUCGUUACCGUUGUUGUUAUCUUAUCGGGAUAUGUUGGGUUGUUGGGAGGUUAUCACAUGCUAUAUCAGUUGUUGGAGAUACACGUGCUUUACUUAAUUGUUAACAACUAAAAUUGUAAGCAGAGGCAUCUAUGUGCCCCUUUGCGAAAGCAUCGGAACUUUGACUUGCUAAUGUCCCCUAGGACCCGAGUUCUUGUUAUCUGUUCCGAGAUUGAGCGCUCUACCCAUGCGUGGGGAUUCACUGGGACCCCCCUCACCCAUUACCUUUUCUCAAGUCAGUUGAAAAGUGGGCCACAACCUUGGUUUUAUUUGGCGCAUACAUGUUUAUAUAUUGUUGCCUUUGGGUGUUUACUUCCUGUUGCCUUCGGGUGGUUUAUUUCUGUACUGCACUGUAUAAUUGCUAGACGACUUAUCUAGUGCUUGGCCGUUAGUGCCCGCCUAGACGCCUACACAACCUCUGGGUCCGUCUCGGAGUACGGCCGAACUUCGUCACGGGUAGCUUAGUUGGGUGGCCCCCCCUAGACUUUCUUGUUGAACUGGGAACGGUCUUGUUGUGAGACAUCGCCUGUAAGAAGCGGGUCGAGCAUGCGUAUGGUUACAUUUGGGCAACCCCUGCAGGGUGUACAUCUUAUCGAUAAGCCGUGUCCGCGGUUAUGGAUGGCUUGGAAUUGUAUAGCUUGAUCAUAGAACAACUUACACCGUUAUCUUGUUGCUAAUAAUCUGAUAAUAACUUGCGUAGUAAUAUAGCCUUACUACAACCGUUACCCAAUAAAACUUGUCCACCGUUGAGUGCCUUUUACAUUGCCUCUUCGCAAUUGUUGGAGGGGAUAUGUGUAAUCGGCUGGGUUAUGUUUGUGUAGUAUUUUAUCUGUUACCUUAUGCGCUCUCUCACCUUCUCUGAUUAGACGAAUGUUGUAGAGUGUCUCUAUAGGUUUUUAGUGCUUGCGCUGCCGCUUAACUCCACCAUAUUGCCUAUGACGUUCCUCUUGCAUCCUCUAAGUCCCCUGCGUGCCUCAAGUACAAAGGAUGACUGGUUGACGAAUGCUUAUACGUCUUGAAGUCUUGUUAAGUACGAACCCGUACUUAUUGCUGCUUCUACGGGAUAUAACCGGGCAGGUAUGAAGAUAUGUUCGAAGAAGACGACGUUAGCAAGGUUACCCUUCCGGCUUGGCACAGGCGAGGUUAUGGACGCCACUGGUUAUCUUCAGGACUCUUAGUCCAAUUUGUAUCUUGUCCGUACUCGGACGUAUUCGAUCUUCUGUAUGAUUCGGAUCUUUGUAUUGUAUAUUUGUAUCUUGACUCGUCGGAGUCGUUGUUGUAAUAUAUGUAUCUUGUGGGCUCUAUUGUAAUCCUGUUGUAAUGUUA
Lolium perenne is the source of this 1984-nucleotide long non-coding RNA. RefSeq lists it as uncharacterized. The record is from RefSeq and is a predicted model, not a curated record. Lineage: Eukaryota; Viridiplantae; Streptophyta; Magnoliopsida; Poales; Poaceae.